AUUCAGCGGCGUGUGAUACGUGAAUUGUGGAACCAGGCAUCUGCAGAGGGGCUCUCCCCCACCGAGGCCUGGGAGCUUCUCGUUUCUCCUCUUACCUUCUUCUUCCCUGCUGUCAUGCUGCCUCAUCUAAACCUGGUUAAUCUAUAAUUUGUGUACACACUGUUGAAUUGGAAGCCCGCCCUUCUCUCCCUCUGACAGCUUGGUGAUGUGGGCACACGUGCCCACUACAGCACAGCUAUAAAUAGCAGACAUCAUGAAAUAAGCCGGAUUGCCGUAACCAGUUCUGUGCAGACCAAUGGUUUCACGUGGAAGAUAAUCGCCGAUCGUAAGAUGCUAUUGUCAUUUCUUCCUACUUGCUGAUGUGUUACUACCAACGUUAAAGGUGGAGAUCAUGGUGGGUGAAAUACGAAAGAAAUCUUUAUGGAGGAGAGAAGCCAUAAGCUUGAACUUGAAGGAUGGCUUCUUCAAUUUCUCUAUUCCCUAAUUCCCAGCCUAUCGCAUUUCAACUGACUCUAAAACAGAGCCCUACCGGUAGGUUCAGGACCACGGAGAGCGUGAGGAAGGGGCGCUUCCAAAAUAUUCUCGUCAGUGACCCUAUGAAGAAGAUGUUACCCUCAAAUUGCACAUGAGUCUGCUACAGAAAAGGCUGCUGGAGCUCAAAGAGUCCUGGUGCCAUGAUUCCAAACUCUGGCUCCAAAGUCCUUGUGUUUGUUCCUUUUGCCUCUCUGAACUGACCCUGACUUUGAUAUAAUAAUCCCCCAAGGACAGAUUUCUGUGGAUAAAAACUAAACUUCCUUGGGACAGUCUAUCAAUGACAUCCAAUAAGCAUUCUUUUCAUAACGGCUAAUUAAACAAGUCACUAGGUAAAUUUUCCUUCUGUACUCAAUGCUUAGAUUUGGGGUAGAGGUUUUCUUAAACUGCCAGUUAAGGUACAUACCACCUCAUAAAUUUCAUUAGAGAGCAAUGUAGAAUAAUGGUUUCUCCCUCCAGCAGUGGGAGGCAUUGAAUUGUUUAAUCAGGAUAAUGACAAAGUUAGACUUUCAUGUUGGAUGGCUCACUCUUGUAGUUUUGGAGGAUGGAUUUAGAAUAAAGGAGAUUGGAGGCAGAGAGGUAAUUGACAUGGAAAUUUGUUGGGCAUCUACCCAUCAUUCACUUUCUCCAUUGUUUGCCAAGAGCAUCCUGAUAUCUUGCGGGUCAACUCAUAGAAUGGCUAUCGGUUUAGGCCUUAGAACUGGACCACCUU
Molecule: long non-coding RNA, 1243 nt
Filed under: Equus caballus (horse)
Lineage: Eukaryota; Metazoa; Chordata; Mammalia; Perissodactyla; Equidae
Description: lncRNA (ENSECAG00000049436.1)
Source: RNAcentral